GGUUUGUUUGGAUUUGGUUUCGUGGUGCUACUUCUUUGGUGGUUCCUAUCUGUUGAUUUUGAUAUGGUUGUUGCUCCUUGGUUUGUUUGGAUUUGGUUUCGUGGUGCUACUUCUUUGGUUGUUCCUAUCAGUUGAUUUUGAUAUGGUUGUUGCUCCUUUUUUGAUCGCUUCUUUUUCGGUUUGAUUUUUUUGUUGGCUUGGUUCUUCUCUUUGAUUGUUGCUUCUUCUUUGGUGACAUCCCUCUUGUCCCCCCGGCUGUCCAACCACCUCCUGCGAUUGUUGAUCCUCCUCGUUACCCCUCUCGUCAUCAUCUUCAGCAUAGAAUCAUUAUUCUACUGUUUGUCUCUUCUUCUUUACAGAUUGCUGAUUUGUUCACAAAGAUGCAUUCCAUUAAACGUUUUCGUUUUUUUUUAGUUGACAAACUCUCGAUGCUCCAUGUUAAUGCAUCGUGAGUUUGAGGGGAGAUGUUAGAUAAUAUUAUUAUAUAUUAGUAGUAAGGGUAUUUUAGAC
Molecule: long non-coding RNA, 510 nt
Filed under: Cicer arietinum (chickpea)
Lineage: Eukaryota; Viridiplantae; Streptophyta; Magnoliopsida; Fabales; Fabaceae
Description: long non-coding RNA (CARI_LNC001637)
Source: RNAcentral